UAGGUGCCGUAAGGCUUAAUAGGGAAGUCCGGUGAAAUACCGGCGCGGUCCCGCCACUGUAAUGGGGAGCAAACUCAAGAAAUGCCACUGGAACGAACGUUUUGGGAAGGUUUGAGCGAGCUAUGAUCCAGAGCCAGGAGAACUGCCUGUUUAAUA
RNAcentral lists this non-coding RNA (156 nucleotides) under human gut metagenome. The record is from RNAcentral.